This is a long non-coding RNA of Callithrix jacchus (white-tufted-ear marmoset), 1012 nucleotides long. RefSeq lists it as uncharacterized. Lineage: Eukaryota; Metazoa; Chordata; Mammalia; Primates; Cebidae. The record is from RefSeq and is a predicted model, not a curated record.
GCUGAACUGGAGGUUGAACAGUGAAUGGCAGAGGAAGAUAUGCCUCUGUGAAUGGCAGAUGCAUCUAACAGCAAUAACUAACAUAAGCAAACCCUGAGAAUGACCCUACGGUCUAAGACAAAUGUGUGUUUGGAGUUCUGUGCUGAAGAAUCCGGGCGUGGCCAACCUGGAGAUUCAUUCCGUAUCUAUGAGGAGCAUCAGAACCCCCAGCCCAUCUCAUUGAAUGGGCAGACUGUCCAGAGGACGGAGGCACUUUGUUUUGGGUUAAACAAAGGUUGUCAGGUGGAAGUUGCUAAGAGAAAGGAGCUUAGUGAAAAUACUAUAUAAACUGCAUCUUUUUUCAAAUGGUGGAAUCCUGUCCAGCCUGCCACCACUGGACUGAAUGAAGAAAGAAAAUUACAGAUGGAAGAGUUGAAAUACAAAAAGGAAUCAAGAAAAAGACAAUCUUUCAGUUAUAAAUAAGUAAUGCCUCAACUUGUUGGGAUGCUUUCUCGGAUGAGGAGGUGCAUAUGACCCAAGUCUUCCUUUCUGAGAGAACUGAGUGGUUGAUGAUCCUGCCUAGAGAUGUCCGUGGACUUGUACAAAACUGCAAAUGAUACCAUUAGGAAGUGUCCCAGGACAGUCCCUGAAUUAUUCCUUUCUCUUCCGGGCUCUUUGUUCUGCAGCACAGCCCUCUAUCCCAUCUAACUCUACAAAAUAAUUUUUUGCAUGUUCUCCCAAGAGAGUGAGAAGCCCAAAACAACCGGGAGACUAUUACAACUUUCAAUUCGGUGGAAUAAACUUCGCGUUUCCUCCUGGAAGCAUACCUCCACUGAGAGGUAAAGUGGAAAAAGAGAGAUGAUCCUGGUCAAAGGACAGUUGAGAUGUCUCCAAGAAAGUCUUAAAAGUGUACACUUGUCCCAUCGAGUAAAAGAAAAUUGCUUCUGGUGUCCUCUAUUUGUUGGAAAUUGUGGGGGGGGGGGAAACAUUUGUCAGAUUAAUGACUCGAUGCUCAAUAUUAAGGGCUAUACUG